This 429-nucleotide ribosomal RNA is filed under the name Bacillota bacterium. Its description in RNAcentral is "Firmicutes bacterium partial 16S ribosomal RNA". It matches the Rfam family "Bacterial small subunit ribosomal RNA", at positions 355 to 776 of the family's 1533-position model. Lineage: Bacteria; Bacillati; Bacillota. The record is from RNAcentral.
UGGGGAAUUUUGGACAAUGGGCGAAAGCCUGAUCCAGCAAUGCCGCGUGUGUGAAGAAGGCCUUCGGGUUGUAAAGCACUUUUGUCCGGAAAGAAAUGGCUCUGGUUAAUACCUGGGGUCGAUGACGGUACCGGAAGAAUAAGGACCGGCUAACUACGUGCCAGCAGCCGCGGUAAUACGUAGGGUCCAAGCGUUAAUCGGAAUUACUGGGCGUAAAGCGUGCGCAGGCGGUUGUGCAAGACUGAUGUGAAAUCCCCGAGCUUAACUUGGGAAUUGCAUUGGUGACUGCACGGCUAGAGUGUGUCAGAGGGGGGUAGAAUUCCACGUGUAGCAGUGAAAUGCGUAGAGAUGUGGAGGAAUACCGAUGGCGAAGGCAGCCCCCUGGGAUAACACUGACGCUCAUGCACGAAAGCGUGGGGAGCAAACAGG